CAGUCGCCGCGGUAAGACGGAGGGUGCAAGCAUUAAUCGGAAUUACUGGGCGUAAAGGGUGCGUAGGCGGUUGUUUAAGUCUGUUGUGAAAUCCCCGGGCUCAACCUGGGAAUGGCAAUGGAAACUGGACGGCUAGAGUGUGUCAGAGGAUGGUGGAAUUCCCGGUGUAGCGGUGAAAUGCGUAGAGAUCGGGAGGAACACCAGUGGCGAAGGCGGCCAUCUGGGACAACACUAACGCUGAGGCACGAAAGCGUGGGGAGCAAACAGGAUUAGAUACCCCCGUAGUCCCUGUCUCUUAUAC
Molecule: ribosomal RNA, 301 nt
Filed under: uncultured bacterium
Lineage: Bacteria
Description: partial 16S ribosomal RNA
Rfam family: Bacterial small subunit ribosomal RNA
Source: RNAcentral